AGCAGCCGCGGUAAUUCCAGCUCCAAUAGCGUAUAUUAAAGUUGUUGCAGUUAAAAAGCUCGUAGUUGAAUUUCGGGAUCAAUACGUCGGUCGUGCUUCGGUACGUACUGGUGUCAUUGAUUUCUCCCUUCUGACGAACCAUGAUGUCAUUAACUUGGUGUCUUGGGAAAUCAGGACUGUUACUUUGAAAAAAUUAGAGUGUUUAAAGCAGGCUCACGCUUGAAUACAUUAGCAUGGAAUAAUGAAAUAGGACGUUCGAUCCUAUUUUGUUGGUUUUAGGAUCAACGUAAUGAUUAAUAGGGAUAGUUGGGGGCAUUAGUAUUCAAUUGUCAGAGGUGAAAUUCUUGGAUUUAUUGAAGACUAACUACUGCGAAAGCAUUUGCCAAGGAUGUUUUCAUUAAUCAAGAACGAAAGUUAGGGGAUCGAAGACGAUCAGAUACCGUCGUAGUCUUAACCAUAAACUAUGCCGACUAGGGAUCGGAUGAUGU
Molecule: ribosomal RNA, 488 nt
Filed under: uncultured Glomeromycotina
Lineage: Eukaryota; Fungi; Glomeromycota
Description: SSU rRNA
Rfam family: Eukaryotic small subunit ribosomal RNA
Source: RNAcentral